RNAcentral lists this ribosomal RNA (253 nucleotides) under uncultured bacterium. RNAcentral describes it as "partial 16S ribosomal RNA". It matches the Rfam family "Bacterial small subunit ribosomal RNA", at positions 524 to 776 of the family's 1533-position model. The record is from RNAcentral.
GACAGAGGGUGCAAACGUUGUUCGGAAUUACUGGGCGUAAAGCGAGUGUAGGCGGUCUCCUAAGUCGGGUGUGAAAGCCCCGGGCUCAACCCGGGAAGUGCACUCGAAACUGGGAGGCUAGAGUAUCGGAGAGGUUGGUGGAAUUCUCGGUGUAGAGGUGAAAUUCGUAGAUAUCGAGAGGAACACCGGUGGCGAAGGCGGAUCUCUGGGCCUUACCUGACGCUCAGGUGCGAAAGCUAGGGGAGCGAACAGG